CAAUAGCGUAUAUUAAAGUUGUUGCAGUUAAAAAGCUCGUAGUUGGAUUUGUGGUUCGUCCUGCCGGCUGGGUCAUUGACUUUUGCUGUGCUGGUCGUCCAUCCUUGGGUGGAAUCUGUGUGGCAUUAGGUUGUCGCGCAGGGGAUGCCCAUCGUUUACUGUGAAAAAAUUAGAGUGUUCAAAGCAGGCUUAUGCCGUUGAAUAUAUUAGCAUGGAAUAAUGAUAUAGGACCUUGGUACUAUUUUGUUGGUUUGCGCACUGAGGUAAUGAUUAAUAGGGACAGUUGGGGGUAUUCGUAUUCCAUUGUAAGAGGUGAAAUUCUUGGAUUUUUGGAAGACGAACUACUGCGAAAGCAUUUACCAAGGAUGUUUUCAUUAA
RNAcentral lists this ribosomal RNA (378 nucleotides) under uncultured eukaryote. Its description in RNAcentral is "partial 18S ribosomal RNA". It matches the Rfam family "Eukaryotic small subunit ribosomal RNA", at positions 592 to 976 of the family's 1831-position model. The record is from RNAcentral.